Callithrix jacchus (white-tufted-ear marmoset) is the source of this 1086-nucleotide long non-coding RNA. NCBI's taxonomy places the organism in Eukaryota, Metazoa, Chordata, Mammalia, Primates, Cebidae. The record is from Ensembl.
UCUGCGGGACUUGAAGAGGGCAGGCCUCCGCUCCUCUUCCCCAGGGGCCGUGCCCCUCACACACACACCAACACCACCCCUCCCGCGACACACACGCAAGUACUUGGGGCGACUGGGCGCCGCUCCCACGCCAGAGCCCUGCCCCGCGCCAGCCUGGGGCCGAGCCGUCAGGCCCCUUCUCCUGCACCCCCACCCCCGCCCGCUGCCGAGGCUCCAGAUGGCGGCUCCUUGCGCUCGGCUUGCAGCCCCCAGACGCCGCCCGGCAGCAGCCGGCAGUCGCUCCCUCCCUCCCAGCUGCUGCGGCAAGACCGGGGCCAUUUCGUGAGGCGGGCGGACUCCUCGGCAGGCUCGGAUUGGGGUGGGAGCGCAGCCGCCAAGAGGCCCGCAGGAGCUGAGCUCGCGGGGAAGGAGCUCCGCAGUCCCCAGGUAAGGAAGCCGCGGGCAGGCACGGGGAGGGAAGGGAGGAGCGAUCACCUGACCAAACCCUCUCUCUCUCCUGACCUUCCUCCCCUCUGCCCCUUCUUCCCCGGCGCCGGGGGCGGGACAGUUUCUGGACCCGAGCACCGGCGAGAAGCAGGGAGCGGCCGCACAGCAGCCAGGAGGGGGCGCCAGCACCCCAGGGCCGGAGCUGCAGGGCUGGCUCGCCAGGCGUCCCGCCCCGCCCCAGGGAACGCUCCCACGGCCGCAAAGGUGCCCCCUUCCGCUGGAAAGCGGUAUUGCCCACCGCGACCCCCUUCAAUUCUCGCUGUACUCCUCUCUCGCUUCCUUUUUGCAUCUCUCUCUCCUCCUCCUCCCCCCUCCCCCUCCUCCUCCUCCUCCUCCUCUUCCUCCCUCUCUCCCUCCCUCUCUCAGUCUUUCUCCCUCUUCCCUCUCUCUAUCUUCCUCUCAGCCCCUUUUCUUUUCCUUCUCCCUCCCUCCCCGCUGGCCCGCCAGUACUUUUCCUUCUCCUUUCCGAUCACUGUCUGGGGGAGGGUUUGUCGCCCGCCGGGAGGUAGUGUGAAGGGGAUGGACGGGUUUCCCGCUCAGGCUCUGGUUCGGGCUCCUCUCCGUAGGUGCCUCCCUGGGUGCUCGCGAAAGCAGCCCUGA